Molecule: long non-coding RNA, 6289 nt
Filed under: Homo sapiens (human)
Lineage: Eukaryota; Metazoa; Chordata; Mammalia; Primates; Hominidae
Description: HSALNT0083150
Source: RNAcentral
AGCGUGGACUCCCUGGGCACCCUCCCCCCAGCAGCUGUCUGCAGGAGCUGCGAGCUGCUAGCUGCGCUAUCACAAAUGUUAAAAUGUAACUCCUCUUUGCUUUUCCUCAACCAACAGCAGCGCAGCCGAGCAAAGGUGAACUGUGUGGUGUUGAUAAUCUAAUCGGGAGCACAGGGCCUCCCCGGGUGGGUGCCCCAUUCCGAUCCGCUGCCCCUGAGAGGUGGGCCUUGGGAGAGGCAGGGCUUGGACGCCCUUCCUCGGGGCAGCGGGGUGCAGGGAGAGUUCUUCUGGCUGUGAGUCCCGGAGUCCCCGACCCUGGCACCCCUUCAGCAAGGUUCUCAGGCACAUCUGCCGGGGGCGCUGAGGGGACCUGAGAUGGACGGGCCGGGAGGGAGGCUGAGGAGAACACAGCAGGUCCCUCCGACCGCAGUCGGCCUCUCCAGCCUGCCAUGCCUCUGGCCAUGAGGCGACCCGCUGGAGUGAUGGAUUCCCGUCACUACCACCCACAGGGCGAGGGGGUGCAUUGGUCUGCUUGGGCCGCUGUAACAAAAUGCCACAGCCUGGAUGAGUGACUGACAUUGCUUCCCCACCGUUCUGGAGGCUGGAGGCCCGAGAUCGAGGUCCCUGACACUAUUUCAGUGAUGCCAGAGCCCAGGAGGAGUCGACCAAGCCCCAGCGUGGCCAUAAGCACCUUCGCAGGACCACGGAGUCGCUGCAGGUGUUCAGCCCUGUUGAGAGUGGGAGUCGGUGUCGAUGGUCACAGCUCAGUAACUCAUCGUCACCAGCGAGUACCACAGAGCAGACACAACUGCACUUCUCUGUAGAGCCUCCAGUCGAUACUGAGAGCCACUGGGGCGUCUGACACCCAAGGGUGCAGACAUUCACUCCAAGUCCAGAGACCGCGCCCUUUCUAAGGCCCUGUCUCACAGUCGCCCCGUGCUCAUUGUGCCGGAUGUUUCCACAGCCACAGAGACGGUGCGUGAAGGUGAGGUGCAGCCUAGUGCAUAUGACUGACAGAAACGUGAAGCCACAGUGGACGCCUGGAUGAGACACAGAUCACCUUCCAAAUCUGAGUGUGGCCUUGGGACCAACCAGGCAGCCAGGGAGAAGGCAGAGACCAGAGGGAACCCAGGUGCCCUCAAUCCCAGCCUCCUCUAUCCCAGCCUCCCAAUCCCAGCCUCCCCAAUCCCAGCCUCCUAAUCCCAGCCUCCUCCAUCCCAGGACCCCCACUCCCAGCCUCCCGAUCCCAGCUUCUCUGAUCCCAGCCUCCCCUAAAACCCAGACUCUAUGAAUCCCAGCCUCUGAGGUGGGAACUGUUAGUAACCCCACUCCAUGGACAAGAAAGCUGGGGCCUGGCGAGGCUAACAGACUAUCCUGAUGGUGUGAGGGAGGGAUCGGCCUCUGAGGGCUGCUUCCACCCAUCUCACCAGUGGCUGCAGGCUCCAGGCGCCACUUUCCUUGAGUCUAUGUUCUUUCCAAGCAUCCUGCAGCUCCAGAAGCUCUGGAGCCGCCAGCACUGAGAGAAGCGAUGGAGCUGCAUGCAGGGUGAGUGUAGGACCGGGCGGAGCUGCUCUGUGGCUGGCGGGCACAUUCUUUGUCAACAUGAGCAUCUCUCACUGUUCCUAGACCCCCUGGCUCCCCAGCUUCCUUGGAGCCAGGCGUGGCCACAGGAAAAUGUUUAGGUCAAUGACAGGAAACUUUGUUGACAGCGGUGUCUGGAUGGACCAGCAGAGGGCACUCUCACCCACGGGGAAAAUCGUGCGCCCGGCCUCGUCCACCGCCAGAAGACGCCGCUACACAAUGGAGUCUCGCUCUGUCGACCAGGCUGGAGUGCAAUGGUGCGAUCUCGGCUCACUGCAAUCUCUGCCUCCCGGUGAGAGGUGAAGCCAGCUGGACUUCCUGGGUCUAGUGGGGACUUGGAGAACUUUUCUGUCUAGCUAAAGAUUUGUAAAUGCACCAAUCAGUGCUGUGUCUAGCUAAAGUUUGUAAACGUACCAAUCAGCACUCUGUAAAAAUGGGCCAAUCAGCACUCUGUAAAAUGGACCAAUCAGCACUCUGUAAAAUGGACCAGUCAGCAGGAUGUGGGCGGGGUCAAAUAAAGGAAUAAAAAGCUGGUAGCCGAGCCGGCAGUGGCAAACCGUUUGGGUCCUUCUCGGUACCCUGGUGGCUUUGUUGUUUUGCUCUUUGCAAUAGAUCUUGUUGCCGCUUGCUCUUUGGGGCCUCACUGCCUUUAUGAGCUAUAACACUCCCCGCAGAGGUCUGCAGCUUCAUUCUUGAAGCCAGCGAGACCACGAACCCACUGGGAGGAACCAACAACUCCAAACGCGCCACCUGUAAGAGCUGUAACACUCCCUGUGAAGGUCUGUGGCUUCACUCCUGAAGUCAGCGAGACCAGGAACCCACCGGAAGGAACUCCGGACACAAAGAACUGCAACACUCACCCGAGGGUCUGUGGCUUCAUUCUUGAAGUCAGUGAGAUUAAGAACCCACCGGAAGGAACCAGUUCCGGACGUGCCGAGUUCAAGCAAUUGUCCUGCCUCAGUCUCCGGAGUAACUGGGAUUACAGGUGCACGCUGCCAUGCCCAGCUAAUUUGUAUUUUAGUAGAGUCGAGGUUUCACCGCGUUGCCCAGGCUGGUCUCGAAUUCCUGAGCUUGGGCAACCCACUCACCUCGGCCUCCCAAAGUGCUAGGAUUACAGGCGUGAGCCACCAGGCCGGGCCCGUAUGGUGGUUUCUACUCCGGACUGACUCUCCCGGGUCUUGGUCACUCUGCAGAAUCCUGGACCGGAAGGGGGCCUCGGCCAGGGGAGGGCUUGCGAGGAGCCCCGGACCUACUGGCCAUUAUAGGGUGACGGGAAGUUCCUUGCAUCCCGGGAUCCCAUGGCACUUGGUCAGGGAAGCCUCCCCAGAGAGGCCCAACUCCCCAGAUCCAGGUGGGGAAUCAGGGUACCAGCCAGGCAGUGUUCCCACCCCAGCCAUGCUGCUGGCUUCCGUCCCUGUGGUGGGGUCACCCAGGUGGCUCAUGCCUCCACGCACAGCCUUGUGGACACCCCCACACCGCCCAUAGUCAAGUCAGAGCUCACGAGCCCACAGGGCAGAUACCCGCCACGAGGGGACGGUGGGCCAGGAGGGUCCUCUGUGGGCAGCGCCGUGUUCCUGAUCUCCCCAGGCUGCUGGGGGAUGGGGUGGGGCAGAGGAGGCCACCUUCCCAUUUCCCACUUUGCUGGGUCUCCCUCUUUGCUGGACAGUGCUGGGGCAGGUUACACACCCAUGACAGUGUGAGGACUGAGGGUGCGCGUCCUGGAGCCUUCAGGGCUUGGGUGGAGGGGGCAGCUUGUCCCCCUGAGGCCUGGGCCAGAGAUCCCAUUCUGAAUGCGGAGAGCCAAGAUUCUACCUGGAUCCUGGCCUUGUGGGUCACUGUGACGGCCCAGAGCUGACUUUAUGUGACAGUUUGUCCUGAGAUUUAAAACUGAAUAUUUAGACUCGUGGGAUCUGGGCAUCCACUUCAACCAAGGAUGGGGACAGGCAGCAGGGUGGAGGGUGGACGAUGCAGGAAGAUGCUGUAGGACCAAGAACAAGGGGGCUGUGAGGCAAAGGAGCAGCACGAGGAGCCGUGUGUGCCCACUGCCACUUGCAGCCUCAUUUCUCAACCCGACUGUGAUGACUGCCGCUUGCUGGAAAGAUGCUCUGAAGACACAAUGAACUGACAAUGCGUCACCCCGACUCCUGCCUGAGCCACUCCAUUCCUUAAAGACGGUACGUGACUCACGUCCUUGCUGUGUCCUGCACGAGAUAAGGUCUGGCAGGGUUGGUAAUUAUGCCUCUGGGAUCUGUAACCAGACAUUCUCUGUAACCAUUCUGUAUAAUCUGGACGUUCUCUGUAAUCCAGAUGUUCUGUGUAAACUGAAGUUCUCUGUAAUUGGACUUUCUCUAUAACCAGUUGUCCUCUGUAACCUUCUCUAUAAUCCAGAUGUUCUUUGCAACCAGAUAUUCUCUCUAACCAGACAUUCUGUAUAAUCCAGACAUUCUCUGUAACCAGAUGUUUUCUAUAAUCCAGAUUUUUUUUUUUUUUUGAGACAGUUGCACUCUUUUUGCCCAGGCUGGAGUGCAAUGGUGAGAUCUUGGCUCCCUGCAACCUCCACCUCCCAGGUUCAAGCGAUUCUCCUGCUUCAACCUCCCUAGUAGCUGAGAUUACAGGCAUGCACCACCAUGCUUAGCUAAUUUUGUAUUUUUAGUAGAGACGGGGUUUCUUCAUGUUGGUCAGACUGCUCUCAAACUCCUGACCUCAGGUGAUCCGCCCACCUCGGCCUCCCAAAGUGCUGGGAUGACAGACGUGAGCCACCGCACCCGGCCCUGGAUGUUCUUUUUAAUCCAGAUAUUCUCUGUAAUCCAGACGUUCUCUACAACCAGACAUUCUCUGUAAUCGGACAUUCAGUACAAUCCAGGCUUUCUCCGUAACCAGACGUUCUCUAUAAUCCAGACGUUCUCUGUAACCCACACGCAGCUCCGUGUGACUCUGCUCUUCCGUGACUUCUGCGUCUAUAAUCCAGACGUUCUCUGUAACCCACGUGCAGCUCCGUGUGACCCUGCUCUUCCGUGACUUCUGCGUCUAUAAUCCAGACGUUCUCUGUAACCCACUGCAGCUCCGUGUGACUCUGCUCUUCCGUGACUUCUGCGUCUAUAAUCCAGACGUUCUCUGUAACCCACUGCAGCUCCGUGUGACUCUGCUCUUCCGUGACUUCUGCAUCUAUAAUCCAGACGUUCUCUGUAACCCACUGCAGCUCCGUGUGACUCUGCUCUUCCGUGACUUCUGCGUCUAUAAUCCAGACGUUCUCUGUAACCCACUGCAGCUCCGUGUGACUCUGCUCUUCCGUGACUUCUGCGUCUAUAAUCCAGACGUUCUCUGUAACCCACUGCAGCUCCGUGUGACUCUGCUCUUCCGUGACUUCUGCGUCUAUAAUCCAGACGUUCUCUGUAACCCACUGCAGCUCCGUGUGACUCUGCUCUUCCGUGACUUCUGUGCACAUUUCGAGCUGCAUCACCAGAGCUGUGCCAGGAGCUGGGACUGUUCCGCAGCAGCCUGACCAUGUGCCUCUGAAAGACCCCUCCCGGGCUGCAGUGCUCAGAAAAACUUCCAAAUAAGAUGAACUUCCCUUAUUUAAAAGCUUGACUCCUUUUUUAGUGGACAGGGCUAUGAGCUGAGGGACACGAGACGUCCAGGACAGGAGGGCCGGCCUUGUCUCAGGCCCUGCUCCCUCACCAAAGGCUCUGUGCUCUGUUCUCCUUCUGAGCCAGCUGUCCUGAAACGGAGGCCCUUUUGUGACCCGACUUGGUCUGUUGGCGGGGGACAGACACCAAGGCCAUGUCUCACACCGGUCAUGGCCAGCCCCCGGCCCUCCUUCCCUCCUCCCCUCCUUCCCUGCUGUAGCCUUUAGGGUUCAGACCCUGGCUGUCCUGUCCUCAUUGGGGCUGAUGCCCUGCCAUGCCCCCCAGGAGCCCCCGUGCUCGGCAGGCUUGGGCUGGGAGGCGCAGUCUCCAGUCUCCAGCAGACACCACCUUACCCAGGUACAUGGCACUUUCCUCAUUAGGGUGACAUUUUCCUCAUCAGUGAGGCUCUCGCCUCCUGAGUUGCACCACCCCUGCGCCAGCGUGGUUGGUCUCCAGAGUCAUACAUGAGCAUGGCGGGCUUGCCUCCAGGAACCAGAGGGUCCUCUGGGGGUUGGGGCACAAGGGGCCGCCCUGACCUCCCCAGACCCUAAUGCGAUUCCCACAGCUCUCGUCCACGAAGCACCAGGCCUCGGCCACGUUUCUAAUCUCGUGAUCCCUCCUGGAAAUCCCAGACAUGACAGAUCCCAACGGGGUGAUGCUUGCAUCACUGAACCAACCCCAGGACACCGGAGAGCUGGCCGUGUGGGGAACCCGUGGAUCCACCUGGGCCCUGGAGCUGGGGAUGUUGGUAGUGUGCGGGGAGGCGGCAAGGCAAGACGGGCAGGAGGAGGCAGCUCUGUCCAGGGCCCAGGCGUCCCUCACGCCGUUUCCAGGCACCCGCAGACUUCAGGAGUCUUAGUCAUCGUUGGGUGUUUGGGGCUCUCUAGUCCCAGUAGGUGCUGGGACUCUCAAACCUCACAGCUACCACCCUGGUGCUAUCGUUACGGACGAUCGCACUUUUGAGAAAAUUGGGCACCGUUGCCAGAGCAGCAGUUAGGCCUCAAGCCAACUAGGCUCCAGAGCGCCUGCCGCCAACCAUCAUACCACAGGGCACGGUCUCGGAUAUUAAACGUCUGGUUGGA